RNAcentral lists this RNase P RNA (364 nucleotides) under marine eukaryotic metagenome. RNAcentral describes it as "Bacterial RNase P class A". It matches the Rfam family "Bacterial RNase P class A". Rfam says of the family: Ribonuclease P (RNase P) is a ubiquitous endoribonuclease, found in archaea, bacteria and eukarya as well as chloroplasts and mitochondria. Its best characterised activity is the generation of mature 5'-ends of tRNAs by cleaving the 5'-leader elements of precursor-tRNAs. Cellular RNase Ps are ribonucleoproteins. The record is from RNAcentral.
GGUCAUUCGCUGCUCCUGCGCGAGCAGGUGCAGAGGAAAGUCCGGACAUCGCAGGGCAGGAUUCCCCGUGAAAUCGGGGGGGGCUUGCUUCAACGCAAGCUCACGGCAAGUGCAACAGAAAAUAUACCGCCCUCAAUUGAAGGUAAGGUUGAAAUGGUGGGGUAAGAGCCUACCGCCACUAGGGCGACCUAGUGGGCAAUGUAAACCCAAUCCGAUGCAAGGUGAAAUAGGAAACCGGGUUGCCCGCCCCAUGGUUUCGGGUACGCCGCAUCUCCCUAGGGGGAAUCAAUGCUUGCAUUGAUAGAUAAAUGAAUGACUAUUCGAACCCUUUACCGGGAGAAUAACAAAAUCUGGCUUACAGCUU